CCCUAGCCCCGAUGGAAGUGGAAAUCCUUUUUCGCGAGGAACGAGCGAAAAAGAUUGUAACGGAAAGCGGGAAACAGC
This 78-nucleotide small RNA is filed under the name Flavobacterium caeni. RNAcentral describes it as "Flavo-1 RNA". It matches the Rfam family "Flavo-1 RNA". Lineage: Bacteria; Pseudomonadati; Bacteroidota; Flavobacteriia; Flavobacteriales; Flavobacteriaceae. The record is from Rfam by way of RNAcentral.